UGGUUGAUCCUGCCAGUAGUCAUAUGCUUGUCUCAAAGAUUAAGCCAUGCAUGUCUAAGUAUAAGCAAUUAUACAGUGAAACUGCGAAUGGCUCAUUAAAUCAGUUAUUGUUUAUUUGAUAGUUGUUACUACAUGGAUAACCGUGGUAAUUCUGUGGCUAAUACAUGACUAAAACCCCGACUGUUAUUGGAGGGGUGUAUUUAUUAGAUAAAAAAUCAAUGCCUUCGGGCCGUUUGAUGAAUCAUAAUAACUUCUCGAAGCCCAUGGCCUUGUGCCGGGGCUGGUUCAUUCAAAUUUCUGCCCUAUCAAGUUGUAUGUAGGAUAGAGGCCUACGUAGCUAGUUACGGGUGACGGGGAAUUCGGGUUCGGUUCCGGAGAAGGAGCCUUAAAAACGGCUACUACAUCCAAGGAAGGCAGCAGGCGCGUAAAUUACCCAAUCCUGACACAGGGAGGUAGUGACAAUAUAUAACGAUACAGGGCCCUUAAGGGUCUUGUAAUUGGAAUGAGUACAAUGUAAAUACCUUAACGAGGAACAAUUGGAGGGCAAGUCUGGUGCCAGCAGCCGCGGUAAUUCCAGCUCCAAUAGCGUAUAUUAAAGUUGUUGCAGUUAAAAAGCUCGUAGUUGAACCUUGGGCCUGGCAGGCGUGUCCGCCAUCUGGCGAGUACUAGUCGGCCGGGCCUUUCCUUCUGGCUAGUCGCAAGACGAACCGGGAUUUUUACUUUGAAAAAAUUAGAGUGUUCAAAGCAGGCCUUUGCUCGAAUANAUUAGCAUGGAAUAAUAGAAUAGGACGUUAUGGUUCUAUUUUGUUGGUUUCUAGGACCAUCGUAAUGNUUAAUAGGGACGGUCGGGGGCAUCAGUAUUCAGUUGUCAGAGGUGAAAUUCUUGGAUUUACUGAAGACUAACUACUGCGAAAGCAUUUGCCAAGGACGUUUUCAUUAAUCAAGAACGAAAGUUAGGGGAUCGAAGAUGAUCAGAUACCGUCGUAGUCUUAACCAUAAACUAUGCCGACUCGGGAUCGGGCGGACGUUCUUUUCUAUAGACCCGCUCGGCACCGUGUGAGAAAUCAAAGUUUUUAGGUUCUGGGGGGAGUAUGGUCGCAAGGCUGAAACUUAAAGGAAUUGACGGAAGGGCACCACCAGGAGUGGAGCCUGCGGCUUAAUUUGACUCAACACGGGGAAACUCACCAGGUCCAGACACAAUAAGGAUUGACAGAUUGAGAGCUCUUUCUUGAUUUUGUGGGUGGUGGUGCAUGGCCGUUCUUAGUUGGUGGAAUGAUUUGUCUGCUUAAUUGCGAUAACGAACGAGACCUUAACCUGCUAAAUAGUAGAGCCAGCGUUUUUGCUGGAAGUCUACUUCUUAGAGGGACCAUCGGUGUCAAGCCGAAGGAAGUUUGAGGCAAUAACAGGUCUGUGAUGCCCUUAGACGUUCUGGGCCGCACGCGCGCUACACUGACGGAGCCAGCGAGUAUUUAACCUAAGCCGAGAGGCCCGGGUAACCUUGGGAAACUCCGUCGUGCUGGGGAUAGAGCAUUGGAAUUAUUGCUCUUCAACGAGGAAUUCCUAGUAAGCGCGAGUCAUCAGCUCGCGUUGAUUACGUCCCUGCCCUUUGUACACACCGCCCGUCGCUAGUACCGAUUGAAUGGCUUAGUGAGGCCUCAGGAUUGGACUUGGGAGGGGGGCAACCUCCACCCGGGACCGAGAAUUUGGACAAACUUGGUCAUUUAGAGGAACUAAAAGUCGUAACAAGGUUUCCGUAGGUGAACCUGCGGAAGGAUCAUUA
This 1780-nucleotide ribosomal RNA is filed under the name Brettanomyces custersianus. RNAcentral describes it as "SSU rRNA". It matches the Rfam family "Eukaryotic small subunit ribosomal RNA". Lineage: Eukaryota; Fungi; Ascomycota; Pichiomycetes; Pichiales; Pichiaceae. The record is from RNAcentral.